UAUAAUUUUAUUGAUUUCCUUGUACAGGGUUUGAACUUUCUUCUGAAUCUCAAUGAUCUUCAUUUCCAUUUAGAUUCUGAAUUCUAUUUCAGCCACUUCAGUCUGGUUAAGAACCAUUGUUCAGGAGCUCGUAUGGUCAUCUGAAGCAGGAGGAACUCUUCAUUUCUGUAGUUCACCUCCCCUGAGGAAAAAAAAAGUAACUACUGAGUAUAGGAGAAAGUUUCCAGCCUUCUUUACCAUGACAUGAUUAUUUGAGACAUAAAGGGGAAACUGCAUGCCAGCAUCUGAAAUACUGGGAGUCAUUUCUUCUCUCAUUUACUCCGCAAAUUUAUAUACAGAGAGCACUGUAACUGGCAUUAUUGUGAUUAAAAUGACAAAUAAAAAUAGACAUAAUCUUUGCUGUGUAAAUUUAUCUACCGGUACCAUAUCUCCCAGAUUUUUUAAGGACAGUCCUAGUUUAAAGGACUCUUAGGCCACCAAUUCUUUUGAGAUCACUUAUUUUGAUGGGAUGCAGAAAAUGUACUUACCCUCAAAGAUAGAUGAAAUUGAGGAAUAUAUUAGGCAUAUUAAGGCAACACAGAAUUCCUGUUUCUAAAUAAAAUUUAAAAGACUUGAGCAAAA
Cebus imitator (Panamanian white-faced capuchin) is the source of this 621-nucleotide long non-coding RNA. RefSeq lists it as uncharacterized. The transcript is spliced from 3 exons. The record is from RefSeq and is a predicted model, not a curated record. NCBI's taxonomy places the organism in Eukaryota, Metazoa, Chordata, Mammalia, Primates, Cebidae.